RNAcentral lists this ribosomal RNA (385 nucleotides) under uncultured bacterium. RNAcentral describes it as "bacterial SSU rRNA". It matches the Rfam family "Bacterial small subunit ribosomal RNA", at positions 370 to 772 of the family's 1533-position model. The record is from RNAcentral.
AAUGGGCGCAAGCCUGAUCCAGCCAUGCCGCGUGAGUGAUGAAGGCCUUCGGGUUGUAAAGCUCUUUCAGAUGGGACGAUGAUGACGGUACCAUCAGAAGAAGCCCCGGCUAACUUCGUGCCAGCAGCCGCGGUAAUACGAAGGGGGCUAGCGUUGUUCGGAAUUACUGGGCGUAAAGCGCGCGUAGGCGGCUUUGUCAGUCAGGGGUGAAAUCCCGGGGCUUAACCUCGGAACUGCCCUUGAUACUGCAAGGCUUGAGUCUGUGAGAGGAUGGUGGAAUACCCAGUGUAGAGGUGAAAUUCGUAGAUAUUGGGUGGAACACCAGUGGCGAAGGCGGCCAUCUGGCACAGUACUGACGCUGAGGUGCGAAAGCGUGGGGAGCAAA